This 393-nucleotide ribosomal RNA is filed under the name uncultured bacterium. Its description in RNAcentral is "bacterial SSU rRNA". It matches the Rfam family "Bacterial small subunit ribosomal RNA", at positions 29 to 451 of the family's 1533-position model. The record is from RNAcentral.
AACGAACGCUGGCGGCAGGCUUAACACAUGCAAGUCGAGCGCCCCGCAAGGGGAGCGGCAGACGGGUGAGUAACGCGUGGGAAUCUACCUUUUGCUACGGAAUAACUCAGGGAAACUUGUGCUAAUACCGUAUGUGCCCUUCGGGGGAAAGAUUUAUCGGCAAAGGAUGAGCCCGCGUUGGAUUAGCUAGUUGGUGAGGUAAAGGCUCACCAAGGCGACGAUCCAUAGCUGGUCUGAGAGGAUGAUCAGCCACACUGGGACUGAGACACGGCCCAGACUCCUACGGGAGGCAGCAGUGGGGAAUAUUGGACAAUGGGCGCAAGCCUGAUCCAGCCAUGCCGCGUGAGUGAUGAAGGCCCUAGGGUUGUAAAGCUCUUUCAACGGUGAAGAUAA